AAAUAGUAUUACAAAGAAAUAAAGAUAGGAUAGAAACAAAUGACAUCUAAAGUAGUAUCAAUGUUCUUGGAUACAAUUAUGAGGAGAUAGAGAAUAUAUGUAUUAAUUCACAUAAAUGGUCAAAUACCAUAAAGAAGUAUUUGUGGAAAAUCUGGUCAGUCCAAUUCUAAAUUCACAACGGUUGGAUGAAACGACUUCUCGACUUUAAUGAGUAGAUUACCUGAUUCCUUGCCUUCCAAAUGAGCAGAUUGUGUUUGCAAUCACUACCCAGACAAAUGUGUAUAUUACCUUUAGUUCUUCUUUUCUUGUGCCAAGAUAACUUCUCCCAUAGAGAAAGCACACGUACAGCAAGAAAAGAUGUUUUGUAGUUUUAGGAUAGUCAUCAUAGAGUAGAGAAGAUGUAUCAUGGGAUAUUCCUAUUUUUAUUAAUCUUUCCCCCUCUUCCAAGCAUAACAAUCCAACAAAUAAAGUUAAGCUUAAUUAUGGGCACCCAUCCAGACAGGGCCAUUGCGUAUCUCGUACGUGAUGUGUUUCAAUUGAAAGAGAUAUCCUGAGUAAGAAGUGGCACCAUGCCCCACGGCUCUUUUAUAUUGCAAGUUAUGAGUAGCGACUUUUGGAAUUUCUCUCAAACGCUCUAAUCUAAAACGCUAUGAUUUAAAAUUUUACCUUUCUCUUGUUAAUUAUAAUAUAUAUAGAAGAAAUUGCAUGAAAAAAAAACACAACCCUAAUAUACUAAUGCUGAUUGCAGAAUGUUUCAUCGGUUGAAUAUUCUCUUUUUAAUAUUAAAACUAUAUAAAACCCUACCUACACUGAAUCCAAGCAAGUGGCCUCGUGGUCUGGUAUGAGAAUCAUUAAGUAUCAUAUUAAAAUCUAAAAAAAUAAAGGUUAUUUCUUAGCAUCUCCCGAAGCCUUAAUUACUGGCCAAGAAAAAAAAACUACCUGCACC
Molecule: long non-coding RNA, 946 nt
Filed under: Solanum tuberosum (potato)
Lineage: Eukaryota; Viridiplantae; Streptophyta; Magnoliopsida; Solanales; Solanaceae
Description: long non-coding RNA (STUB_LNC011475)
Source: RNAcentral